ACAAGUCUCAAUAUAAGCUAAAGAAAAUGUUGUAUGAUAAUUUGUUUGUACGAAUCUCAAAUUUUUACAUUGAUAUUUUUAUUUAUUGUCAGGCACAACUUCGUCUAGCAAUAAACUGCAAAAAAUAGCACGCUGAAAAUCACGAAUAAGUUUGCAUCAACAAUCAAAGUGUCAAGAAUGGCCAGGGCUGCCUCAAAUGUUUUAUAUGCACCGUUGCAUUUUUUUUCUCAAAAUAUAAUAUGAAAAAUUUUCUAGUCGUCCUAGUUUAGCAAUAUUCUUUUUAUAUAUAUAAAAACAUGACAAAGUAG
Molecule: long non-coding RNA, 308 nt
Filed under: Olea europaea subsp. europaea
Lineage: Eukaryota; Viridiplantae; Streptophyta; Magnoliopsida; Lamiales; Oleaceae
Source: RNAcentral